This 403-nucleotide ribosomal RNA is filed under the name Verrucomicrobiota bacterium. RNAcentral describes it as "Verrucomicrobia bacterium partial 16S ribosomal RNA". It matches the Rfam family "Bacterial small subunit ribosomal RNA", at positions 355 to 776 of the family's 1533-position model. Lineage: Bacteria; Pseudomonadati; Verrucomicrobiota. The record is from RNAcentral.
UGGGGAAUAUUGCACAAUGGGGGAAACCCUGAUGCAGCGACGCCGCGUGAGCGAAGAAGGCUUUCGAGUCGUAAAGCUCUGUCCUAUGAGAAGAUAAUGACGGUAUCAUAGGAGGAAGCCCUGGCUAAAUACGUGCCAGCAGCCGCGGUAAUACGUAUGGGGCGAGCGUUGUCCGGAAUUAUUGGGCGUAAAGGGUACGUAGGUGGUUUUUUAAGUCAGGUGUCAAAGCGUGGAGCUUAACUCCAUUAAGCACUUGAAACUGAAAGACUUGAGUGAAGGAGAGGAAAGUGGAAUUCCUAUUGUAGCGGUGAAAUGCGUAGAUAUUAGGAGGAAUACCGGUGGCGAAGGCGACUUUCUGGACUUUUACUGACGCUCAGGUACGAAAGCGUGGGGAGCAAACAGG